UGGCGGCAGUAGCGCGGUGGUCCCACCUGACCCCAUGCCGAACUCAGAAGUGAAACGCCGUAGCGCCGAUGGUAGUGUGGGGUCUCCCCAUGCGAGAGUAGGGAACUGCC
Molecule: ribosomal RNA, 110 nt
Filed under: Escherichia coli
Lineage: Bacteria; Pseudomonadati; Pseudomonadota; Gammaproteobacteria; Enterobacterales; Enterobacteriaceae
Also listed under: 1 other name
Source: RNAcentral